RNAcentral lists this unclassified non-coding RNA (329 nucleotides) under uncultured fungus. RNAcentral describes it as "partial contains 5.8S ribosomal RNA and internal transcribed spacer 2". The stretch from base 1 to 133 matches the Rfam family "5.8S ribosomal RNA", at positions 22 to 154 of the family's 154-position model. The record is from RNAcentral. Lineage: Eukaryota; Fungi.
UGGUUCUCGCAUCGAUGAAGAACGCAGCGAAAUGCGAUAAGUAGUGUGAAUUGCAGAAUUCAGUGAAUCAUCGAAUCUUUGAACGCACAUUGCGCCUCCUGGUAUUCCGGGAGGCAUGCCUGUUCGAGCGUCAUUAAAUACCACUCAAGCUCUUCUGCUUGGUCAUGGAAGAAGAGUAUGCUUGCAUCCUCUCUUCUGAAAUCGAAUGGCGGACUGCCUCAUGUGCCUCGCGUAGUAAGUUCAUCUUUUCGCUUGGAGCAUGAGAUAGUCUCGCCAUCAACCCCCAUACUUCUAAGGUUGACCUCGGAUCAGGUAGGGAUACCCGCUGA